AGAAUUCCCUGAUCAUUUUUAACUAGAUGCAAUCUCUCUCUCUUUCUCUUUCCCUUUCUCUUACAGACAUGUGAAAAAUAGCCUAAUAAGGAUCUUCGUGGUAAAAUCAGAUGGAAAACGGGGAGGCAGAGUCGCGUCUCCAGCAGCUCAUUCGACGCGGCGGCUCCUCCGAGUUGUACAAUAAUCAUCAGUGCUGGCCCGGUGCCGCUGGAUUAUUUUGUAUAUUCAUGAAGGCCCUCAUCAGCCGUCAGGAGACUGUGCAGUAAUCCUUGGAUGAAAUAAGGCCAAUCAGAGCGAUAAUGAGGAAGGUCAAUUGCCCAGAGGCUUCUCCUCCUGUUUUCCAUCUAUUUAUAUACGUGGACCAUAAUAAGCCUCUUGGAACCAGAAGUUACUGGGCCUACAUAAACACCUGCUCUGGUUUUUUGUUUGUCUUUUACCCGAAAUCAGCAAAGUUUUUUUUUUUUUAAAUGAAUCUGCAAAACCAUGUCAAAGCUAUCAACUCAUGCAUGGAGUCGGAAAACAAAGGAGGAUUCUAAUAAUGUUUAUUUUCCUCUUUAUCAGAGACCCCCCCCCCAUACAAAAUCCCAAACCAAAAGAGGAGCCUAUAAAGGAAUGUCUAAACUGCUCACAGAGCUUUCUUUUCACAAAACGAGCGAGAAACCAUCAACAGGGCAGGGAAGGCAAACACGUCUGCCCCACACUGCUUGUGCUUUCUUGGGUCACAGAGACACAUCCGAGCAGGUCAUGGGCUGCUUCCACCGACAGAUGUCCUGAUGUGAAGGAGAGUACCACUGAAGAAAAUGCCUGAACUGCUAUUAUCUGCAUCCUUCAAGCGCUUUUAAAUGACAGAGAUUAAUUACUGAAGUAAUUACUGUUGGGAAGCAAAGGGACAGUUGGAUAAGACGGCCUUUCUUGUGAUGACCAAGUCUUUCUUGACAAUUAUGCCUAAUUCCAACAAUGAUUAUUCCGUGUGGCAAAGUCGAGCAGCACAAGGGCAUGCGGGUGUCCGUGUGUCCUCACUCACAAGGAGCCAUUAGAACGAGGACAGGAUUACGACGUGCCGUUAACAUUAGCCUCAGCACAGUGUCUGGAUGAUCAGCCAUGCCUCUUGUAAAUGUCCCACAUAAACCCUGCAGGCCAUGGGCGGUCACCAUGUGAGAGACAGCAUGGCUCCAUCAGUUGGUUACUGCGGGAUUUCUGCAAAGUAUGGUUCAGAGGAUGUCAGGUCUGUUAGGACCCCUGGGCUGGGAGGGGAAAGGUAGAGGAGGGGUCAGUGACCAGCACAGGACAGAAAAGCAUCUUAAGCAAAUAUUGGAUUGUGAGCAUCGAAGAGAAACAACUCAAGAGGGCCUUCCAGCUGGCUCUAGCUGGCACCCGUUCAAUUCUUCCGGCCAUGAUGUGCCCACAAGAACGCCCCAGGAGAGAUGCUUCUGUAAGGGAGCAGCCACCAGCCACCUAAAUGAGGUCAACGGAAAGAAUGGAAAUAGUUGGAGCCUGGGGAUGACAUCAAACACUGGGUGGGUGAGGGGGAGAAAGGAGGUAUGUGGAGAGAGAGGCAGCCCAAGGGAGGCAGAGACAUGGAUGGGAGGAGUGACAGAAGGGCAGGACUUCAGGCUCUGCACCUCUUUCCGGGUGUUGUUGCCAGCCCUACUCCAACCCUGAGCCAUAAUCAACUUCCUUAAUGAAAUACGUAAUUAACAUAUUAUAAUUGUAGUAAAGAUGAUUUUGACAGAAAUC
This 1737-nucleotide long non-coding RNA is filed under the name Mus musculus (house mouse). RNAcentral's name for it is "predicted gene, 31621". The record is from RNAcentral. Lineage: Eukaryota; Metazoa; Chordata; Mammalia; Rodentia; Muridae.